This 782-nucleotide long non-coding RNA is filed under the name Capsicum annuum. Its description in RNAcentral is "long non-coding RNA (CANN_LNC018984)". Lineage: Eukaryota; Viridiplantae; Streptophyta; Magnoliopsida; Solanales; Solanaceae. The record is from RNAcentral.
AAAAAAAACAGACAUUCUAUGAUCAGACAUUGAACCAGAUAAAAAAAACAGAGAAAAAUAUCAACAGUGAAAACAUCAAAAUACAAGAAAAAAACAGAGUGAAUACAACAGAGAAGAAAAAUAAAUAAGAGAAAAGGUUGUGAUUCGUGUCUCAUAUUUCCGCUCAAUAUUUCGGUGACAUCUUGCUUUUGUAUUCAAUUAAAGUUGACUUACAGAUUUUAUUUCAAUCACAUCUCAUUUUUGUUGUAAGUUUACUGUAGAAAAGUAUGAAUGAAAGUGUUCAAGUGAUUUGUUCUGCAUUAUUUAGCGUAUGGAGUUGAAUAUCUGAAUUAUUGUUAUUUGUUAUGCAAUUGUGUUACUGAAUAUUGAUAUAUUUGUACACUAAUUCAUUCACACACUAUAUCAAACACCCAUCAGCCGCUGCUGCCGUCAAAAUCUGCCGAAAAACGAUGUCAUCCGUUUCUAUUGUUCCUAAAACAUGAAGAAAAAAUUUAAAUGUAUAUAUUUUCUUUCAAAAAAAGAUAAUAAUUAUUUACUAUUAGUUAAAUGGUAGUACAAACAAUUUAAUUUUAAUUUUUCCUUUUCAAUAAUAUUAAUUCCACAUCAUUUUUUGCAAAUUGGCUAUUAAAAUAUUAGUUUUUAGGUAGUUUUAGGGAAUCUGUAUUUUGCUUUUACUAGGAAUUAUAUUAAUCUCCUAAUGUGACAAUAUCUCUAAUACUUAUCAACGCGGUGAUUAAAUUAUGACAUUAGUUUGAAUCUUUAUUAUUUUAAACAAUCGUAUU